AGCGAACGCUGGCGGCAGGCCUAACACAUGCAAGUCGAGUGGCAGCGCGGGGGCAACCCUGGCGGCGAGCGGCGGACGGGUGAGGAAUACAUCGGAAUCUACCCAGUCGUGGGGGAUAACGUAGGGAAACUUACGCUAAUACCGCAUACGACCUGAGGGUGAAAGCAGGGGACCGCAAGGCCUUGCGCGAUUGGAUGAGCCGAUGUCCGAUUAGCUAGUUGGUGAGGUAAAGGCUCACCAAGGCGACGAUCGGUAGCUGGUCUGAGCGGAUGAUCAGCCACACUGGAACUGAGACACGGUCCAGACUCCUACGGGAGGCAGCAGUGGGGAAUAUUGGACAAUGGGCGCAAGCCUGAUCCAGCCAUGCCGCGUGUGUGAAGAAGGCCUUCGGGUUGUAAAGCACUUUUGUCCGGAAAGAAAUCCUGUCGGUUAAUACCUGGCGGGGAUGACGGUACCGGAAGAAUAAGCACCGGCUAACUUCGUGCCAGCAGCCGCGGUAAUACGAAGGGUGCAAGCGUUACUCGGAAUUACUGGGCGUAAAGCGUGCGUAGGCGGUUCGUUAAGUCAGAUGUGCAAGCCCCGGGCUCAACCUGGGAAUUGCAUUUGAUACUGGCGGGCUAGAGUACGGUAGAGGGUGGUGGAAUUCCCGGUGUAGCAGUGAAAUGCGUAGAGAUCGGGAGGAACAUCUGUGGCGAAGGCGGCCACCUGGACCAGUACUGACGCUGAGGCACGAAAAGCGUGGGGGAGCAAAACAGGAUUAGAUACCC
Molecule: ribosomal RNA, 767 nt
Filed under: uncultured bacterium
Lineage: Bacteria
Description: bacterial SSU rRNA
Rfam family: Bacterial small subunit ribosomal RNA
Source: RNAcentral